CCUACGGGAGGCAGCAGUGGGGAAUAUUGCACAAUGGGGGAAACCCUGAUGCAGCGACGCCGCGUGAGUGAAGAAGUAUUUCGGUACGUAAAGCUCUAUCAGCAGGGAAGAAAAUGACGGUACCUGACUAAGAAGCCCCGGCUAACUACGUGCCAGCAGCCGCGGUAAUACGUAGGGGGCAAGCGUUAUCCGGAUUUACUGGGUGUAAAGGGAGCGUAGACGGCAGCGCAAGUCUGGAGUGAAAUCCCAUGGCUUAACCAUGGAACUGCUUUGGAAACUGUGCAGCUAGAGUGCAGGAGAGGUAAGCGGAAUUCCUAGUGUAGCGGUGAAAUGCGUAGAUAUUAGGAGGAACACCAGUGGCUAAGGCGGCUUACUGGACUGUAACUGACGUUGAGGCUCGAAAGCGUGGGGAGCAAACAGGAUUAGAUACCCCAGUAGUC
RNAcentral lists this ribosomal RNA (440 nucleotides) under uncultured bacterium. RNAcentral describes it as "partial 16S ribosomal RNA". It matches the Rfam family "Bacterial small subunit ribosomal RNA", at positions 338 to 795 of the family's 1533-position model. The record is from RNAcentral.